GACAGAGGGUGCAACCGUUGUUCGGAAUUACUGGGCGUAACGCGCGUGUAGGCGGCCCAGCAAGUCGGAUGUGAAAGCCCUGGGCUUAACCUAGGAAGUGCAUUCGAAACUGCUGGGCUUGAGUUCUGGAGAGGAAGGCGGAAUUCUCGGUGUAGAGGUGAAAUUCGUAGAUAUCGAGAGGAACACCGGUGGCGAAGGCGGCCUUCUGGACAGUGACUGACGCUGAGACGCGAAAGCGUGGGGAGCAAACAGG
Molecule: ribosomal RNA, 253 nt
Filed under: uncultured bacterium
Lineage: Bacteria
Description: partial 16S ribosomal RNA
Rfam family: Bacterial small subunit ribosomal RNA
Source: RNAcentral